GCCCACGUAGCUCAGUGAAUAGAGCAGGCGGCUUCUAUCCGUCGUGUCGGGGGUUUGAAUCCUCCCGUGGGCGCCA
RNAcentral lists this transfer RNA (76 nucleotides) under mine drainage metagenome. Its description in RNAcentral is "tRNA-Arg". It matches the Rfam family "tRNA". Rfam says of the family: Transfer RNA (tRNA) molecules are approximately 80 nucleotides in length. Their secondary structure includes four short double-helical elements and three loops (D, anti-codon, and T loops). The record is from RNAcentral.